Molecule: non-coding RNA, 87 nt
Filed under: Hyphomicrobiales bacterium
Lineage: Bacteria; Pseudomonadati; Pseudomonadota; Alphaproteobacteria; Hyphomicrobiales
Description: Rhizobiales bacterium Glycine sequence
Rfam family: Glycine riboswitch aptamer
About the family: This family represents the bacterial glycine riboswitch. Glycine riboswitches usually consist of two metabolite-binding aptamers domains with similar structures in tandem.
Source: RNAcentral
AUGAUCCUCGCGGGAGAGAUCGGUCCGUCCGACGCCGAAGGCGCAACCGCCCCGGAAACGCUCAGGCAAAAGGACCGCGAGGAGCUG